GCCGGGCGUGGUGGCGGGCGCCUGUAGUCCCAGCUACUACGGAGGCUGAGGCAGGAGAAUUGCUUGAACCUGGAAGGCAGAGGUUGCAGUGAGCCGAGAUCAUGCCACUGCACUCCAGCCUGGCGACUGAACAAGACUCCGUUUUAAAAACAAAACAAAACAAAAAACAAGUUUUUGUUUUGUUUUGUUUUGUUUUUUGAGACGGAGUCUCGCUCUGUCCCAGGCUGGAGUGCAGUGGCCGGAUCUCAGCUCACUGCAAGCUCCGCCUCCCGGGUUUACGCCAUUCUCCUGCCUCAG
This 297-nucleotide small RNA is filed under the name Papio anubis (olive baboon). Its description in RNAcentral is "Metazoan signal recognition particle RNA (ENSPANG00000051334.1)". Lineage: Eukaryota; Metazoa; Chordata; Mammalia; Primates; Cercopithecidae. The record is from Rfam by way of RNAcentral.